RNAcentral lists this ribosomal RNA (412 nucleotides) under uncultured eukaryote. RNAcentral's name for it is "SSU rRNA". It matches the Rfam family "Eukaryotic small subunit ribosomal RNA", at positions 592 to 1018 of the family's 1831-position model. The record is from RNAcentral.
CAAUAGCGUAUAUUAAAGUUGUUGCAGUUAAAAGCUCGUAGUUGGAUUUGUGGUGGCAGGUGCGGUCCAAUUUUGGUACUUUCGCUUGCCGCCAUCCUUGGGUGGAACCUGUGUGGCAUUAGGUUGUCGUGCAGGGGAUGCCCAUCGUUUACUGUGAAAAAUCAGCGCGUUCAAAGCAGGCUUAUGCCGUUGAAUGUAUUAGCAUGGAAUAAUAAGAUAGGACCUUGGUACUAUUUUGUUGGUUUGCGCACCGAGGUAAUGAUUAAUAGGGACAGUUGGGGGUAUUCGUAUUCCAUUGUCAGAGGUGAAAUUCUUGGAUUUCUGGAAGACGAACUACUGCGAAAGCAUUUACCAAGGAUGUUUUCAUUAAUCAAGAACGAAAGUUAGGGGAUCGAAGACGAUCAGAUACCAU